RNAcentral lists this ribosomal RNA (445 nucleotides) under uncultured bacterium. RNAcentral describes it as "partial 16S ribosomal RNA". It matches the Rfam family "Bacterial small subunit ribosomal RNA", at positions 354 to 796 of the family's 1533-position model. The record is from RNAcentral.
GUGAGGAAUAUUGCGCAAUGGAGGCAACUCUGACGCAGCCAUGCCGCGUGCAGGAAGAAGGCGCUACGCGUUGUAAACUGCUUUUAACCGGGAAGAAACCCCAUGACGUGUCCUGGGUUGACGGUACCGGAGGAAUAAGCACCGGCUAACUUCGUGCCAGCAGCCGCGGUAAUACGAAUGGUGCAAGCGUUAUCCGGAUUCAUUGGGUUUAAAGGGUGCGUAGGCGGAGCGUUAAGUCAGUGGUGAAAUCCUGCAGCUUAACUGUAGACUUGCCAUUGAUACUGGCGCUCUUGAGUGCGCUUGAAGUGGGCGGAAUGUGCCGUGUAGCGGUGAAAUGCUUAGAUAUGGCACAGAACACCAAUUGCGAAGGCAGCUCACUAAGGCGAUACUGACGCUGAGGCACGAAAGCGUGGGGAUCGAACAGGAUUAGAAACCCCUGUAGUUC